AAAUAAAUCUUGCUCAAUUUUGAAGAUUAAAGAAAUUUUAUAUAAAGAAUUAGUUUAAUUUAUUAGUUAGUUUAUCUAAAUCAUAUUAUGAGCGAUAGUGUAAAGUAUUGUAAAAGAAAGUUAUAUAUUAUGAAUAAAAGAAAUUAUUAAUUUUGUACCUUUAGUAUCAGGGGCAUUCAAUAUAAUUUAUGUAUUUUAAUUAUCUCGAAAAUAGAAGAUCUAAAUAGUUAAAAUGAAACUGUAAUAAAAGUUUAAUUGAAUAAUUAUUUAGUAAUGAUACUUUAGUCGUUUCUAUAUAUCUAGUUUUCUUUGAAAUAAAUUUAAUUUAAAGCUUUUAAUUUUUUUUAUUAGUUGUUAAUUCAGGAGGGAUAAGCUUCUUGAAUAUUAUUUCAUAUAAAAUAAUAUAAUUUUAGUAAGUUAAUUAGGCUUAAAGUCAGCCAUUUUAAUAGGACGUUGUAGUAAAUCUUAAGAAGUAGAAAUUUUAUAUCAGUUUAUAUUUUGUAAGGGAAAUAAAAAAUAAUUUCAAAAAUUUUUUUAAAAUGAAAGCAUUAGUAAAUAUAUUAUGUUAAUUAAUUAAAAUUAAAUAAUAAUAUAAAUAAAAUUUAUAGCAUUAUUAAAAAAAGGAACUCGGCAAAAGAGCCUUUGCCUGUUUAUCAAAAACAUGUCUAUUAGAAUAUAAUUUAAUAGUCUGGUCUGCCCACUGAGUUUUAAAGGGCCGCGGUAAUUUGACCGUGCUAAGGUAGCAUAAUCAAUAGUCUUAUAAUUGAAGGCUGGAAUGAAUGAUCGGACAAGGGGCUAACUGUCUCUUUUUAAUAAUAUAGAAUUUUACUUUUAAGUGAAAAGGCUUAAAUAAUUUAAUGGGAAGACAAGACCCUAUAAAACUUUACAAAAUAUAUUAAUAAAUAAUUUGGUAGUUUAAAAUUAUAUUAGGUUAUUUUUGUUGAGCUGGGGCGGUUUUUAUAAAAAAAAUUAACUGUAAGUUAAAUUGAAAUAUAAAUAUAUAGUUUAAUAAGAUCCUUAAGUUUGGAGAUUAAAAGACUAAGUUACUUUAGGGAUAACAGCAUAAUUUUCCUUGAGAGUUCUUAUCGACAGGAGUAGUUGUGACCUCGAUGUUGAAUUAAAGUCUCCUUUUAGUGAAGAAGCUUAAAGGGUGAGUCUGUUCGACUUUUAAAACUUUACAUGAUUUGAGUUCAAACCGGUGUGAGCCAGGUUGGUUUCUAUCUAUUAAUAGUAUUUUUUUUCUUCUAGUACGAAAGGACCGUAGAAAAAGGAAAUUCCUAAAUUUAAGAUAAAGUUA
This 1297-nucleotide ribosomal RNA is filed under the name Crangon hakodatei. Its description in RNAcentral is "large subunit ribosomal RNA". The stretch from base 557 to 1297 matches the Rfam family "Archaeal large subunit ribosomal RNA", at positions 1423 to 2839 of the family's 2987-position model. The record is from RNAcentral. Lineage: Eukaryota; Metazoa; Arthropoda; Malacostraca; Decapoda; Crangonidae.